RNAcentral lists this ribosomal RNA (244 nucleotides) under uncultured bacterium. Its description in RNAcentral is "partial 16S ribosomal RNA". It matches the Rfam family "Bacterial small subunit ribosomal RNA", at positions 333 to 594 of the family's 1533-position model. The record is from RNAcentral.
AACUACCGACGGGGGGCAGCAGUGGGGAAUAUUGCACAAUGGGGGAAACCCCGAUGCAGCAACGCCGCGUGAGUGAAGAAGUAUUUCGAUAUGUAAAGCUCUAUCAGCAGGGAAGAAGAUGACGGUACCUGAUUAAGAAGCCCCGGCUAACUACGUGCCAGCAGCCGCGGUAAUACGUAGGGGGCAAGCGUUAUCCGGAUUUACUGGGUGUAAAGGGAGCGUAGGUGGCAUGGUAAGCCAGAAG